GGGUUGUGAGGUUAAGCGACUAAGCGUACACGGUGGAUGCCCUGGCAGUCAGAGGCGAUGAAGGACGUGCUAAUCUGCGAUAAGCGUCGGUAAGGUGAUAUGAACCGUUAUAACCGGCGAUUUCCGAAUGGGGAAACCCAGUGUGUUUCGACACACUAUCAUUAACUGAAUCCAUAGGUUAAUGAGGCGAACCGGGGGAACUGAAACAUCUAAGUACCCCGAGGAAAAGAAAUCAACCGAGAUUCCCCCAGUAGCGGCGAGCGAACGGGGAGCAGCCCAGAGCCUGAAUCAGUGUGUGUGUUAGUGGAAGCGUCUGGAAAGGCGUGCGAUACAGGGUGACAGCCCCGUACACAAAAAUGCACAUAUUGUGAGCUCGAUGAGUAGGGCGGGACACGUGGUAUCCUGUCUGAAUAUGGGGGGACCAUCCUCCAAGGCUAAAUACUCCUGACUGACCGAUAGUGAACCAGUACCGUGAGGGAAAGGCGAAAAGAACCCCGGCGAGGGGAGUGAAAAAGAACCUGAAACCGUGUACGUACAAGCAGUGGGAGCACGCUUAGGCGUGUGACUGCGUACCUUUUGUAUAAUGGGUCAGCGACUUAUAUUCUGUAGCAAGGUUAACCGAAUAGGGGAGCCGAAGGGAAACCGAGUCUUAACUGGGCGUUAAGUUGCAGGGUAUAGACCCGAAACCCGGUGAUCUAGCCAUGGGCAGGUUGAAGGUUGGGUAACACUAACUGGAGGACCGAACCGACUAAUGUUGAAAAAUUAGCGGAUGACUUGUGGCUGGGGGUGAAAGGCCAAUCAAACCGGGAGAUAGCUGGUUCUCCCCGAAAGCUAUUUAGGUAGCGCCUCGUGAAUUCAUCUCCGGGGGUAGAGCACUGUUUCGGCAAGGGGGUCAUCCCGACUUACCAACCCGAUGCAAACUGCGAAUACCGGAGAAUGUUAUCACGGGAGACACACGGCGGGUGCUAACGUCCGUCGUGAAGAGGGAAACAACCCAGACCGCCAGCUAAGGUCCCAAAGUCAUGGUUAAGUGGGAAACGAUGUGGGAAGGCCCAGACAGCCAGGAUGUUGGCUUAGAAGCAGCCAUCAUUUAAAGAAAGCGUAAUAGCUCACUGGUCGAGUCGGCCUGCGCGGAAGAUGUAACGGGGCUAAACCAUGCACCGAAGCUGCGGCAGCGACGCUGAUGCGUUGUUGGGUAGGGGAGCGUUCUGUAAGCCUGCGAAGGUGUGCUGUGAGGCAUGCUGGAGGUAUCAGAAGUGCGAAUGCUGACAUAAGUAACGAUAAAGCGGGUGAAAAGCCCGCUCGCCGGAAGACCAAGGGUUCCUGUCCAACGUUAAUCGGGGCAGGGUGAGUCGACCCCUAAGGCGAGGCCGAAAGGCGUAGUCGAUGGGAAACAGGUUAAUAUUCCUGUACUUGGUGUUACUGCGAAGGGGGGACGGAGAAGGCUAUGUUGGCCGGGCGACGGUUGUCCCGGUUUAAGCGUGUAGGCUGGUUUUCCAGGCAAAUCCGGAAAAUCAAGGCUGAGGCGUGAUGACGAGGCACUACGGUGCUGAAGCAACAAAUGCCCUGCUUCCAGGAAAAGCCUCUAAGCAUCAGGUAACAUCAAAUCGUACCCCAAACCGACACAGGUGGUCAGGUAGAGAAUACCAAGGCGCUUGAGAGAACUCGGGUGAAGGAACUAGGCAAAAUGGUGCCGUAACUUCGGGAGAAGGCACGCUGAUAUGUAGGUGAAGUCCCUCGCGGAUGGAGCUGAAAUCAGUCGAAGAUACCAGCUGGCUGCAACUGUUUAUUAAAAACACAGCACUGUGCAAACACGAAAGUGGACGUAUACGGUGUGACGCCUGCCCGGUGCCGGAAGGUUAAUUGAUGGGGUCAGCGCAAGCGAAGCUCUUGAUCGAAGCCCCGGUAAACGGCGGCCGUAACUAUAACGGUCCUAAGGUAGCGAAAUUCCUUGUCGGGUAAGUUCCGACCUGCACGAAUGGCGUAAUGAUGGCCAGGCUGUCUCCACCCGAGACUCAGUGAAAUUGAACUCGCUGUGAAGAUGCAGUGUACCCGCGGCAAGACGGAAAGACCCCGUGAACCUUUACUAUAGCUUGACACUGAACAUUGAGCCUUGAUGUGUAGGAUAGGUGGGAGGCUUUGAAGUGUGGACGCCAGUCUGCAUGGAGCCGACCUUGAAAUACCACCCUUUAAUGUUUGAUGUUCUAACGUGGACCCGUAAUCCGGGUUGCGGACAGUGUCUGGUGGGUAGUUUGACUGGGGCGGUCUCCUCCUAAAGAGUAACGGAGGAGCACGAAGGUUGGCUAAUCCUGGUCGGACAUCAGGAGGUUAGUGCAAUGGCAUAAGCCAGCUUGACUGCGAGCGUGACGGCGCGAGCAGGUGCGAAAGCAGGUCAUAGUGAUCCGGUGGUUCUGAAUGGAAGGGCCAUCGCUCAACGGAUAAAAGGUACUCCGGGGAUAACAGGCUGAUACCGCCCAAGAGUUCAUAUCGACGGCGGUGUUUGGCACCUCGAUGUCGGCUCAUCACAUCCUGGGGCUGAAGUAGGUCCCAAGGGUAUGGCUGUUCGCCAUUUAAAGUGGUACGCGAGCUGGGUUUAGAACGUCGUGAGACAGUUCGGUCCCUAUCUGCCGUGGGCGCUGGAGAACUGAGGGGGGCUGCUCCUAGUACGAGAGGACCGGAGUGGACGCAUCACUGGUGUUCGGGUUGUCAUGCCAAUGGCACUGCCCGGUAGCUAAAUGCGGAAGAGAUAAGUGCUGAAAGCAUCUAAGCACGAAACUUGCCCCGAGAUGAGUUCUCCCUGACCCUUUAAGGGUCCUGAAGGAACGUUGAAGACGACGACGUUGAUAGGCCGGGUGUGUAAGCGCAGCGAUGCGUUGAGCUAACCGGUACUAAUGAACCGUGAGGCUUAACCUUACAACGCCGAAGGUGUUU
RNAcentral lists this ribosomal RNA (2931 nucleotides) under Escherichia coli. RNAcentral describes it as "bacterial LSU rRNA". It matches the Rfam family "Bacterial large subunit ribosomal RNA". The record is from RNAcentral. Lineage: Bacteria; Pseudomonadati; Pseudomonadota; Gammaproteobacteria; Enterobacterales; Enterobacteriaceae.